AACAUCGCGCACCUGCGGGAACCUGCGGAGGGAUCAUUACAGAGUUCGUGCCCUCGCGGGUAGAUCUCCCACCCUUGUGUAUUCUCUACAUCUUGUUGCUUUGGCAGGCCGUUGGUUCGCCAACCACCGGCUCGCGGGCUGGUGCGUGCCUGCCAGAGGACCUCUCAAACUCGGUUUGUUAGUGUCGUCUGAGUACCAUAACAAUCGUUAAAACUUUCAACAAUGGAUCUCAGAUCGGAA
Molecule: unclassified non-coding RNA, 240 nt
Filed under: soil metagenome
Description: partial contains 5.8S ribosomal RNA, internal transcribed spacer 2, and large subunit ribosomal RNA
Source: RNAcentral